CACAAAAGAAGUUAGACUGUGGAAAACCAAUUCAAGGAACCACUGCCACACAAAGAACCUCAAUCUGCAGUAAGAAACAACAGAAAGGAACAAAAUAUUUCCAAGGAAACAUCUGAGCGUAGUGUUGGAGCCAAGAUGCAAACUGAUUUUCAAGCAACCUAAUUUACUACUUCUCAGAGGGCCCAGUUGUAAAUGGAGACUCAGGGUCAGGAGUGCAAUUUUCGGGCCGGAGGUGCCUUGCUGCACACCCUGCGUAAAUCCACCUUGACAUUUGAAAAGUCAUUCUCAAAAAUCAUCAGAAAGAGUGAAGUCCAAACUCAGUGCUGGCAUAAGUGCUCUUGGACUCGGUGGAACUACGCUUGCUUGUGCCAAUAUUAAAUUUGGACAUCUACCUUAAAGAAAA
Molecule: long non-coding RNA, 403 nt
Organism: Calidris pugnax (ruff)
Lineage: Eukaryota; Metazoa; Chordata; Aves; Charadriiformes; Scolopacidae
Exons: 4
Source: RefSeq, a predicted model, not a curated record